CGGGGACAGCUGGAAAGGGCAGCGGGAGACAGCCCCUGUGGUCCUCCCGUCGAGCUGGACGGCUCUGCGCGCCGCGGCUCUCGCCAACUGGGGGAUCAGUGUGCCCAAAGCCCAGGAUGGUGAUCCGGCGUCGUCGCACGGGUGGGAGCCUUAGAGUUAGGGUUGCGACAGGCGGGAGCUGGUGUGGACCCCAGCUUGCGUUGGCGCCUGUCCCUCCCGCACCCCCAGCCCCUGGCGGUGGGGCCACCCUGCGCAGACAGCACUCAGGCCCACGGGGCAGAGUCGGCGGGGCUUGGGAGGCCAGGGAGGCUCACCUGCGCCCUCCCCGCCCUGGAUGCUGGGUGCGCGCCCUGUGGUCCGCCGACCGCCCGCUGGAAGCCAGCCUCAACCUGAUUCGAGCGCGUCUGGUGAAGGGGACGCGGAGCUGGGGGCGGAGGCGCCCGCAAGAUCGGUGGGAUGGCAGCCCUGCCUGCAGAUCGAGGUGCUGGGGAGAGGAGAGGGGACACCAGCGCGUGCCUGCACAGGGUCACCUGCGUCCUGGGCCGCUGCUGGGAAGCGGCCACCCUAAAGAAAUGCCCUGCGGCUGCCCGGAGGGCCCCCACCCUUAAGACUGGCCUUGAAGCUGCAAGCCCUCUCUUUCAUCUCCUCCCAACAGAGCUGGCCGGUUCCCCAGCCUGCAAUCCAGGCCUGCGGAGAAUGUCUCCAAAAUACUUCCAGAACUCCAAGCCAAGGGCCCUGUCCCGCCCUCCACCUACAGACUUCCCCUGGGUUCCUAGUCCUUACCCUCCUUCCUCUCCACUGGGCUUCCCCAGGCGCCUGGAAAGACACCCAGGGACCUGGCUGGUGCAAACCUAGCGUUUUCUCUGUUCCAAAGGCCAAGGGAGUCUGCUGGGAAACAAAGACUAGAGACUUGGCGCACAUUUUUUGAGCACUUACUAGGUGUCAUUUAACACUUCGAGUGGAUUUUCCCUUUUAAUCUGUACAACAGCCCUUUGGGGCAGGUAUUAUUAUCUCUGUUCUGUGGAGGUAGAAACUGAGGCAGCCUGGGAGCAGAGGCCAUCCAGAAGGACUCAGUUCCACUUCAAGUCUGUUUCUCCGCCAUUGCAGCGUGCUUCUGCAGGAAGUCAGGAGUCCUAACUGUGGCAAGACCCACAGCCCUAGCCAUGCCCUAGGGCCUGAUGGCAGCUAGCAGUGUCUGUUAACACCAACACUAGGUGGAUCCAGCAGGUGGAUGUCAGGUACAGUUUGAUCUGGAAUGCAUCACAGCCUGCCUGUAGAGGAUUAGUGGUCUGAGUUCCUUGGGGUGGGUGAACAGCUCAGUCUCCACCUUUGACUCCUCAACUCUGGACAUCCUCCUUCAGCAUUCUGAAUUGGCAGCAUCCUGAGACACGCCAAGUCCCUCUCGUUCCCUCUCCUCCCUCCCCCAAAGACACAAGCUCAGUAGACACACACACACACACACACACACACCUGCCCUCCCCUUCCCCUGCCAAGCACCAGCCUGCAUGUGGAUGAGGCCUUGUGUGGGCUCCGCUAAUGCCCUUUGUCCUGGGAGGGAAGGGCAUACCCACCUUUAAUGAGUGGCUGGGAAAUCAGGGUCCAAAAGCAGUCCCCCUUCCAGUGCCUAGAAAUGACACCACAGGGUCCCUGGCCCCCAUUUCCUGCCCAAGAAUUAGCGAGGAUCACACAUGCAUGUGGACACACACACACUCCCCUCCCCUGGCUGGUCUCAGGCGUGGCUUGAUGCAGUAGCUCAAUGGACAUCAAUCACCCAAACCCAGUGUCUCCAACUGACUUAGUUCUGCUCUCCAUCAAAAGCUGGCUUCGUUUCUUUGUGGUGAAACCUUUGAAAUCCUCUCUUCUAGUUUUUGGAAAUAUAUAGUAGAGCACUUAACUGAAGUUGCCCUCCUGUAUAGUAGAUUGAGAUGGGAAUUUGGGGAUACAGAAAGAGAGAGACUAAGUUUCAAAAGAGAAGCACCCAUCAGCUGUUGGAAUGGAGGAAUGCCCCCAAGAACCUUGGAAAUGCAAAACAAGCUUGAGCAACCCAGUCCAUGGCCUUAACCCACACCCUUGACCCACAUCUUUGACCCAUGCCCUUGGCCCGUGCCCUUGCCUGCCAAAAAGUAAUGUGAGGGCAAUUUUCAAAUGCUGUAAACAACCUGCGUGGAAUUUUGUAACUCCACCCUGGCUCCACCCCUAUUUCAGCCCCUAACUACUGCCACUCUUUAAAUAUUAACACCCCAGACGGGAGGUCACUGUCUCACCCUCUGCAGAAGGUCUGCAUUCUCCCUUAUACACGUAUUCCUCGGUUUACCCCAAAGGCAUCUCCCUUGAGAUCGCCCACAUUCUCCCUUGACUAUGUAUCACUUUCCUAAGUAAACCUCUGUCCAUUCCUCUGACAAACAUGUGUUGAAAUUCUUUUCCAUCACAUAAGCCAAGGACCCACUGGUCCUGAGUCAAGCUCCCCCUUCUCUCCAGGAACUCCCCCAGACCCUUCUCCAGGGACACAUUCUCUGUGACAGGACCACCAGCACUUAUUCCUCCUGUCUAGCUUCGUCACUACUGACCAACCUCUUGCUGUCCCCACCGCUGUGACCCCAGUUCUACUCUCAGUGUCUAUGAGGUCAGCUUCAUAGCUGUGAGAUCACAUGGUAUUUGCAUUUCUGUGCCUGGCUUCUUUCACAUCAUAUAAUGUCCUAUAGGUUUAUCCAUCUUGUCACAAAUGAUAAAUGUUUCCGAUGAUGGACAUACUAAUUACCCUGAUUUGAUUGUUACACAGUUUAUACAUGUAUCAACAUGUCACAUUAUAGCCCAUAAAUUUGUACAAUCCAUGUGUCAUGUUCUUUUUUAAAAAAAAACAUCUGCUUUGUUCUCUACUUGCAUAAGUGCCAAAAUGGCUGCGGAAGCUCCAGCUCACUUGCUUCCAACAUCGAGUCCUAUGGGAAGGAAGCAGGCAGACCUGUGUGCUAACUCCAUGGCUGGCAAG
This 2986-nucleotide long non-coding RNA is filed under the name Marmota monax (woodchuck). The record is from RNAcentral. Lineage: Eukaryota; Metazoa; Chordata; Mammalia; Rodentia; Sciuridae.